AUACGUAGGGAGCAAGCGUUGUCCGGAUUUACUGGGUGUAAAGGGUGCGUAGGCGGCUCUGCAAGUCAGGUGUGAAAACCAUCGGCUCAACUGGUGGAGUGCAUUUGAAACUGUGGUGCUUGAGUGGAGCAGAGGCAGGCGGAAUUCCCGGUGUAGCGGUGAAAUGCGUAGAGAUCGGGAGGAACACCAGUGGCGAAAGCGGCCUGCUGGGCUUUAACUGACGCUGAGGCACGAAAGCAUGAGUAGCAAACAGGAUUAGAUACCCUGGUAGUCCAUGCCGUAAACGAUGAUUACUAGGUGUGGGGGGUCUGACCCCUUCCGUGCCGGAGUUAACGCAAUAAGUAAUCCACCUGGGAAGUACGACCGCAAGGUUGAA
Molecule: ribosomal RNA, 376 nt
Filed under: uncultured bacterium
Lineage: Bacteria
Description: bacterial SSU rRNA
Rfam family: Bacterial small subunit ribosomal RNA
Source: RNAcentral